CCUACGGGAGGCAGCAGUGAGGAAUAUUGGUCAAUGGCCGAGAGGCUGAACCAGCCAAGUCGCGUGAGGGAAGAAUGUCCUAUGGAUUGUAAACCUCUUUUGUCAGGGAGCACAGUCACCCACGUGUGGGUGUUGGAGAGUACCUGAAGAAAAAGCAUCGGCUAACUCCGUGCCAGCCGCCGCGGUAAUAGGGUGGAUGCGAGCGUUAUCCGGAUUGGUUGGGGUAAACGGGUGCGUAGGGGGGUUAUCAAGUCAGCGGUAAAGUCGUGGGGCUCAACUCCAUCCAGCCGUUGACACUGAUGAUCUUGAGUGGGCGAGAAGUAUGCGGAAUGCGUGGUGUAGCGGUGAAAUGCAUAGAUAUCACGCAGAACUCCGAUUGCGAAGGCAGCAUACCGGCGCCCGACUGACGCUGAAGCACGAAAGCGUGGGGAUCGAACAGGAUUAGAUACCCGAGUAGUC
This 459-nucleotide ribosomal RNA is filed under the name uncultured bacterium. RNAcentral's name for it is "partial 16S ribosomal RNA". It matches the Rfam family "Bacterial small subunit ribosomal RNA", at positions 338 to 795 of the family's 1533-position model. The record is from RNAcentral.